GGCUGGGGCAGCGUGCUGCGAAACCUCUCAGCGACGGAGGAGGGUAGUGCACCUCCCCAUCACCACCACCAGCACCAGCCGGCGGCACCACCGGCCCGGUGGCGGGUCUCUGCACCGCCGCCGCCCCCAGCCACCCUGGAGAUGUCUCCCAGACAGGCGGCAGGGUCUCCGUCCGGCCGCCGUCGCCGUGUGCGCGGCUCCCCCCGGCCGCGCCGAGCGCCACCCGCUCUCUCCCCUCUCGCUCUGUCCCGGCGGCCCACCCCCAACUUUGACUCGCACGCGGUUCAGGAGAUAGUUCAGGAUCGCAGCCCGGGCGCGGACGUCGGCUGGGCCACGCCCUCCCCACCGCCGCGGGGGCCG
Long non-coding RNA from Amphibalanus amphitrite, 360 nucleotides. RefSeq lists it as uncharacterized. The transcript has 3 exons. Lineage: Eukaryota; Metazoa; Arthropoda; Thecostraca; Balanomorpha; Balanidae. The record is from RefSeq and is a predicted model, not a curated record.